Molecule: ribosomal RNA, 253 nt
Filed under: uncultured bacterium
Lineage: Bacteria
Description: partial 16S ribosomal RNA
Rfam family: Bacterial small subunit ribosomal RNA
Source: RNAcentral
GACGAGGGAUCCUAGCGUUGUUCGGAAUCAUUGGGCGUAAAGCGGGUGUAGGUGGACUUUUAAGUCAGAUGUGAAAUCCCAGGGCUUAACCCUGGAAGUGCAUUUGAUACUGAAAGUCUUGAGUGUGGUAGAGGUUACUGGAAUUGUUGGUGUAGUGGUGAAAUACGUAGAUAUCAACAGGAAUACCGGAGGCGAAGGCGAGUAACUGGGCCAACACUGACACUGAGACCCGAAAGCGUGGGGAUCAAACAGG